GUAGCUCAGUUGGUAGAGUCCCGGAUUGUGAUUCCGGUUGUCGUGGGUUCGAGCCCCAUC
Molecule: transfer RNA, 60 nt
Filed under: Methylococcaceae bacterium
Lineage: Bacteria; Pseudomonadati; Pseudomonadota; Gammaproteobacteria; Methylococcales; Methylococcaceae
Description: tRNA-His
Rfam family: tRNA
About the family: Transfer RNA (tRNA) molecules are approximately 80 nucleotides in length. Their secondary structure includes four short double-helical elements and three loops (D, anti-codon, and T loops).
Source: RNAcentral